AACUAGUUUCCCCGGGAGUUUUUAGCUUGUGGCGGGGAAAAAAGCUAGGCGUGGCUUAAGACUCAAAAAUAAAAUCACACAAAAUGAGUAGAAGGAAAAGAAAACCAGUAAAGAGACUGAUUAUACAGUCAGACAGCUCUGAAGAAGAUGAUGAUGAUGAUGAUUUUGUUCCAGUUACCAAGAAAUUUAUUAAAUCCGAAAAGCUGUCAACAAAUGAAAAGAGACUGAAGAGAUUAGUUCCAUUUGAUGAUGAAAACACUGCAGC
Amphimedon queenslandica is the source of this 265-nucleotide long non-coding RNA. RefSeq lists it as uncharacterized. NCBI's taxonomy places the organism in Eukaryota, Metazoa, Porifera, Demospongiae, Haplosclerida, Niphatidae. The transcript has 4 exons. The record is from RefSeq and is a predicted model, not a curated record.